This 62-nucleotide transfer RNA is filed under the name Tigriopus japonicus. RNAcentral describes it as "tRNA-Phe". Lineage: Eukaryota; Metazoa; Arthropoda; Copepoda; Harpacticoida; Harpacticidae. The record is from RNAcentral.
ACUUGGUUAGCUUAUUUAAAGCAUUACUCUGAAGAGGUAAAGAAAAGUUUCAUUACUAAGUA